ACAUGGUAUACCUAGAUGAUCUACAUAGUCCUCCGUCAUCAGCCUGAGAGAUCCAUUCAUUUCCUUCCUCCUCUCCAACCUGCAGACCUCCCAGAGCUGAAUUGUUUCUUCUGCUGCCAGAUCGAUAGAAAGUUGGAGUGAAAAAAGAAAUGUAAGGAAACUACAACACCUGCAAUGAUGUUCUUUGAAAAGCAUGAAAGUCACAACAGGAGACUGAGAACAUGCCUCUUCCAACUGAGCUCUAAAUGUUCUGAGAGGCUCCUUCUUAGGUUGGACAGGAGAAAAGGAAUAUUUCCUAGAAGACAGACCUUUGAACUAAAAUCCCACAGAACAAGGGAGCCACCUGCUACAGAUACUCUGUGUAGAAGGGAUGGGGAAGGAGAAAACCCAGAAGAAUGACUACAAAGAAUAUGGAACGACACGGCUGCAAAUAAUGAAGAAGCUGCAAGAGUUCUGACUUCUUUCUUUUAAAAAAAAAAUCUCCUGGAAACAAGCACAUAAUAAAAGAACUGCUCCUUCAAAAGAGCUGCUGCUUCAAAAUACAAUGCAAACUAAAUUUCAGACAGGCUAAAAAUAGUUUUUCAGACUUGUGGGGAGAGGGGUGGUGGUGCAGAGGUAAUCACGAUCAGGAAAUCCUCAGGCCAGGCAAAAAGCAAAGAUAAUAAAAACAAAGAUGUGAAGAAAGCUAAGCUUGCUCUUUCUUCUUCGUUGCUUUGGUCUUUUUUUAAUUGUUCUUUAGGGAAAUGUGUAUGGGACAGUCCUCACCUGGGUCAAGUACCACAGAGCUUUCUGAGGCAGCAAAACAUGGUCUAAAGGUUGUGUGUGUGUGUGUGUGUGUGUUAAUGCUGCGCAAUGGGAAACUUCUUUCAUUUUACACACAUGCACACACACAAACCAUGUUUGAGGAACACGCUCUUUGCAAAUUCUAAUAAAAACUGACCUGAGAUGCAACCCCAAGGAGCAAGGGGCAGGUCAGAACUUAGUUCACCCUUCUCCAGCAGUGUUUUUGUCUUAACGUGUUUUUUUUAAAAAACCUGUUAAAAUGCACAUUUCAGGAUAAAGUAUAUUCAGAAAUACUGUGUGCAAUUAGUGAGAAAAUGUAAUUGUAAUUACGUACUUAAAUAUGGGCAGAUUUUUCUUUUUAAAAACAAAAACAAAAGAAACCACAAUAAAUUCACAGGUUAAUGUGGAAAUGUGUGUGUGUUUUAUUUGUUUUUACA
Podarcis muralis (Common wall lizard) is the source of this 1220-nucleotide non-coding RNA. Lineage: Eukaryota; Metazoa; Chordata; Lepidosauria; Squamata; Lacertidae. The record is from RefSeq and is a predicted model, not a curated record.